This 714-nucleotide long non-coding RNA is filed under the name Fukomys damarensis (Damara mole-rat). RNAcentral's name for it is "lncRNA (ENSFDAG00000024765.1)". The record is from RNAcentral. Lineage: Eukaryota; Metazoa; Chordata; Mammalia; Rodentia; Bathyergidae.
GUUUUAUGUUGAGAUAGGAUCUCAUUAAAUUGCCAAAACUAGAGCCGAGGAUUUAGCACAGUGGUUCUGGAGCCCACUUUGCAAGCACAAGGACCCGAGUUUGAUCCACAGUACCAACAAAUAAAUAAAGAAAUAAAUAAAUAAAGCUAGGCUUGAGCCUGAGAUUCCCCUGCCUCAGCUACCUGAGUUGCUGGGUUUACAGGUAUGUGCCACCACAACCAGCUUAACCUCUCUUCUUUAUAAAGUUAGGCUGCCUCAGGUACUUUGUUAUAGUAACAUAGUAAAGAGGCCAAUACACUAGCUUAUAAGGACUUAAUUUUUUUAUCUUUUUUGACAGGAUCUUGCUUUGUAGUACAGGCUGGUCUUGAACUCACAGCCCUCCUGCCUUAGCCUCCUGAAUGUUGAGACUACAGGUGUGCGCCACCACAUCUGGCUAUCAGGGCUUUCUGAGGAAGCAAACCCUCACUAAACACUGAAGGCAGAGGCUCACUGGCUCUCAGAUAUUGCUGGUGUCAACUGGUAAAAGUUCUUUUCUCCAAAGGAGGGAGCCAUUUCACACAAAUCUUGGGACAGAGGCAAACUGAACAUUCCUUCAAACGUCAUCUGAAGAUGCAACCCGAGCUGCUUUCAAAUUCUUUAAAAACCAUUCCAUAAAAUACAAAUUGCUCAUCAAUUUUAUAAACAGUGAGAAGCAAUGAGUCUGGUUCUUCUGUG